CAUAAAAAAACUUAUUGUUGAAAGUGAAUUCGAAGGUAGUGAUUUGGCAAAAAUAUUGUUGAAAGUGAAUUCGCAGGUAGUGAUUAGGCAAAAAUGAAAGUAGGGUAGAGAUUAGAGGGAGGCAGGACCUUUUUCUGGACGUCGGGAUCGGGUGUUUUUAAGCUCGGGAUGUGGGGAUUGAUCCUUACGGGAUCCGGGAAUAUAUUUUUCGAUUUCGGGAUUUUGUGAUAUGAAUUUCUUUAAAUUCUGCAUCCCGGGAUUUCAUGUUUUUAAGGCCGGGAUUUCGGGAUCAGGACCCUCCGACCACCUCUCAAAUUAGC
RNAcentral lists this long non-coding RNA (320 nucleotides) under Mytilus galloprovincialis (Mediterranean mussel). Lineage: Eukaryota; Metazoa; Mollusca; Bivalvia; Mytilida; Mytilidae. The record is from RNAcentral.